AGGAUGAACGCUGGCGGCGUGCCUAAAACAUGCAAGUCAUACGGACUACCUUCGGGUAGUCAGUGGCAAACGGGUGAGUAACACGUGGGAACACGCCUUCGAGUGGGGAAUAACGCUGAGAAAUCAGUGCUAAUACCGCAUAUGGUCGAGAGACUAAAGCAGCAAUGCGCUCGGAGAGUGGCCCGCGGUCGAUUAGCUAGUUGGUGGGGUAAUGGCCUACCAAGGCGGCGAUCGAUAGCUGGU
Molecule: ribosomal RNA, 243 nt
Filed under: uncultured bacterium
Lineage: Bacteria
Description: partial small subunit ribosomal RNA
Rfam family: Bacterial small subunit ribosomal RNA
Source: RNAcentral